GAUGGUGGCAGCAAGUGUUGUGGCCAAGAUCGGCAGAUCGUGGGAGUAUAGAUACACCACGAUCCUAAAGAAGUGGUCUGUGAGAUUUGUUUUGUUCCUCUAUCGCGCCUUGCCUUGCUUAGCCUGAUGCGUGGGGCAGCGGCGGGUGUGGUACUGUCGCUGUUACUGCCGCUACUGCUGCUGGAGGAGUCACACACGUUCGAGGCCGUCGCUGGUGUGUGGCGACGUGGAGCAGCGACGUGGUUCUCGCCACUCCUGAGGCCUCUGGUGACUGGCAGUGUACGCUCCUAUUUUGGGUCUCAAGGAAGGAUAGUUUUCCCUCCCCAGCCGAGAAGAGGGCCCGGAUUUCUGCCACAUCUGAGUCCUGGGGCGGCUGGCAGAGGAUGCUCCUCUUUUAGCUUUCAAGAAGGGGCAGCCUUUCAUCCCCAGCCCGGGAGCAGCCACUUGUGGAGUGCAGCGAGUUACUACCCGCGCUGGCCAGACCGAGUCCGCCACGACUUCACGAGCGAAGGAAAGAUGAGUCUUAGCAAGGAGGACGCCAGACAGCCCCGUCGCCUGCCUCUCGUGCAGGCUCGUCACCAGAUAAACAACCCACGACGGCAGAAGCAGGACAGCCCUCAGGAUCACCGCAAGCCUUCCUCUGAUUCCCUCUGGUACUGGGACUGAGAGAGAAAACUGAAACAAACAGCAGCUACGACAGAAAAAAAAAAUGAAUAAAUAAAUAAAUAAAAAUAA
Molecule: long non-coding RNA, 735 nt
Organism: Scylla paramamosain (green mud crab)
Lineage: Eukaryota; Metazoa; Arthropoda; Malacostraca; Decapoda; Portunidae
Exons: 3
Source: RefSeq, a predicted model, not a curated record